Capra hircus (goat) is the source of this 369-nucleotide non-coding RNA. The record is from the annotation of a RefSeq genome assembly. Lineage: Eukaryota; Metazoa; Chordata; Mammalia; Artiodactyla; Bovidae.
AUGCUUCUCUCCAGCCUUCUGAGGGUGGUCGUGGCUUCACUGUGUUUAGGAUCCAGUAUUGCCCAGAAAGUAACUCAAGACCAACCACCAAUGUCAGUGCAGGAGAAAGAAACUGUGACCCUGGACUGCACAUAUGACAUCAGUAUUACAACUUAUAGUCUAUGCUGGUACAAGCAACCCAGCAGUGGGGUGAUGACCUUUCUCAUUCGCCAGGACUCUUCUAACAAGGCAAAUGCCACAGAAGGUCGCUACUCAUUGAAUUUCCAGAAGGCAAGCAAAUUCAUCACACUUACCAUCUCAGCUUCACAACUGGAGGACUCUGCAGUGUAUUUCUGUGCAAUGAGUGAGCCCACAGUGAGAGCCGUGUAG